Molecule: long non-coding RNA, 1001 nt
Organism: Xenia sp. Carnegie-2017
Lineage: Eukaryota; Metazoa; Cnidaria; Anthozoa; Malacalcyonacea; Xeniidae
Exons: 4
Source: RefSeq, a predicted model, not a curated record
GGUAAUUCACUUGAGAAACGUUCAAAUGAAUUACCUCAAAUAUAUAUUAUAGAGUAUACAAGAUAUUGCAACAUGGGGGCAAAAUGUUGCUGAAUCUUCAAAUGCGAUGAUGUUUUAUAAACCUUCGUACCUUACCGUAAUAAUUAAACAACCUUUUCAAUGAAAUCGAGCAGAGAAUAUAUUGCAUGAGACAUUCGUUAAUUAUCUUGUUUUUAUCUAGGUAUUUUUGAAUUAUAUCGCAUGUAAUAAAUCGUUUGACAAUGUUACAGAACACUGCAUGUGUUAUAACAUUGAGGGGUGUUACAGCACAAUGCACGGUUCAAACGAUAAGCUUUCCGCGAGUCUUAUAAUCUUCAAAGAGUUGUUCACUUAACAUACAUGUUCAGUCAUGUACAGUGUCGAGCGUACGGACAGUGAAAGAACGCGAACUCUGGCAGUGGUAUGUGCUAAACAAUUGUUUGUUUCCAUUAAAUAACUCCUUCUUCAGUCUUUUUUUAGGUACAAGAGAUGAAGAUCAGGAAGAAGAUAGAGGAGUACGUUAUUAUUUUUCCUGUCCUUAUCUUAACUUGUUUUUAGAUUUUUCGUUUAGAUGAGGAGGAGGCUGAUGAAAAGUAGAGAAGUAUGCUGACGGAGAGACAAGAAGGAUGCAGAAAAAGAGACGAGGAUGCAGAUGAAGAGAAAAGGAGGAUGCAGAUGAAAGACGAGGAUGCAGAUAAAGAGAAAAGGAGGAUGCAGAUGAAGGGACGAGGAGGAUGAAAAUGAAUGGACAAGGAGGAUCAAGAACGGACAAGGAGGAUCAAGAAGGAUAUAGAGAAACAUGUCGAGCGUACGGACAGUGAAAGAACGCGAACUCUGGCAGUGGUACAAGAGAUGAAGAUCAAGAAGAAGAUAGAGGAAUGAGGAGGAGGCUGAUGAAAAGAAGAGGAUGCUGACGGAGAGACGAGGAAGAUGCUGACGGAGCUACGAGGAGGAUGCUGAUGGUGCUACGAAGAGGAUGCUGA